This is a long non-coding RNA of Cyprinus carpio carpio, 1542 nucleotides long. Lineage: Eukaryota; Metazoa; Chordata; Actinopteri; Cypriniformes; Cyprinidae. The record is from Ensembl.
CACACUUAUAAGUAUAUCAGGGGUGGUUGGUGGCAUGCUGGUUAAAGUUCAGGGCUCAUAAUCAAAACAUUUCUGGUUUGAUUCUCACAGCUGUUACAGUUGUGCCUAUGAACAAGACAUUUAACCCUGGGUUGUUUCAGGGGGGACUGUACUGUGUUAUGCAUCAUCUGGUGAAGUCGACAAAAGUGUAAACAAUCUCAGAGCUGGCCAAUUUCCACCUAUAAUAAUGGACCAUGAAACAACAGAAGGAAAACCAGCAUGAAGGAAAACAGAGGAGAGAGAUAUCUGGGACAUCACUCUUCCACUCACGCUCCCUCAGUCUACUAAUGAGACUUGUCAUCAAGAUUGUGAGUGUCAGAUGUGGCUGUGUUCGACACUGAAGAAAGUGUUUAUCAAGGACGAGAGACACACUCAGAGCUGUUUCCAGCAAACAGAUGUCAUGUUGGACUGCGUCUAAGAAUUUCACGAUAGCAAUAAACCGAAGCACCAGGUGAGAAAGUGUGUGGCAGCUUUCCAACUGUGAAAGAAACAGACUGUGAAGCUCUCCGCUGGAAUCCAAGUUAUUCUGGCAGCGGGGCAAAAUCUUUUGGUCGCUCUACCUACAGCAAAGCCGAGGCUUUGAAUUGCCAGUUACACAACUGCAUUCGCAGAACUCCUGUCUAAUACACCAGACCUCAGAGGCUUAAAUCAUAUAUCCAUCAAAUCUGAAAAUUCAAUCAGCGCCCAAGGCUGACCCUCCUCCAGAUGCCUGACAUUCAGUGUCGAACCCAGCACGAGACAGAAAUAACAAAAUAUGUUUUCACAAAAUACUUGAUUUAAAAGGCAGAGAUUAGCCCUAAGCCACUGGGUAGAGAUGGGAAAUGCCAAUAAUGAAACAUGACAUGGCAAAGCCUGCAGGCAGGGAUUGUGUUCUGAAGGUUGUCACCCUCAGCGCUUCUCCGUAGGAAAAGCAGAAAAAGGUUAGCUAAUCUCAUUGAGAGAGAGAUGAAUGUGCUAUCGGGAUGAGUGGUGAAUGCAUGUAAAUGACACCAGAGCUUCAGAUCACAUAAUACGGAUGCUUGCUCUGGGCUGAUGAUAUGUGCUGCAAAGCUAUAAAUGACUGAUAGACUUGUGGCUAUGGAGGGAAUGGGCAAAAUCUACUAUUUUUCCUUCCGUGAUGGUCCUGCACAGGUGGUGUUUGUGUUCCUGUGGGUGCACAGGCUGUUGUGUGAGCAUGACAACCAAGGAUGUUGGAUCCAUAAUUGAAGAUGCAGUCAGGAGAUGACCAGGAUGCUGUGUAGGUGUUUCUACAGCAGAAUUUAUGUGCACUCAAGUGGGCUGAUGUAGCCCUUGACUCUCUCUGUAUCAACAGUGUCACAAGUCAGUCUAUACGGGUGUUGAUUCUGAUGCUUCCAAAUUUUCUCCUAGAUUGGGAAGUAGUAAGUCACAGUUUUCUCUUUUUUUCCCAUCUUGUCAGGUUCAAUUGAGAAAUCUGAUUGUAUAAAUGUAUCUGUUGGCUAAAUAGUUCUCUGAAUGCUAUUAAAUGUUGCUGUCAAAUCCUAG